Molecule: long non-coding RNA, 294 nt
Organism: Alligator sinensis (Chinese alligator)
Lineage: Eukaryota; Metazoa; Chordata; Crocodylia; Alligatoridae
Exons: 3
Source: RefSeq, a predicted model, not a curated record
CCAAUGGUUAGAGCCUAGCUCUGGGCAGAAGAGUGGUGUAGCGAUUAAAGCAAAGGAUUGCAACUCCCAACUUCUACUUCCAGGUCCAUCUCCUUGCAGAUGGCAGCCAAUCCAUUCCCCACACGGGAGUAUUUCCCCAGCAGAUGAGGCUGUGCCAAGGAGCUACUUCCCAUCACAAACAUCAAUGGAAAUCAGUCAGCGUGAUUAGAAGAAAGACCUUGAAAAUGUGACCAGUGCCAUGGAUAGCCUCGGAGCCAGAGACACCUGCUGUAAGAAAGGGAAUUGCCCCCAGAU